Molecule: non-coding RNA, 46 nt
Organism: Schistosoma mansoni
Lineage: Eukaryota; Metazoa; Platyhelminthes; Trematoda; Strigeidida; Schistosomatidae
Source: Rfam
GCACUACCGAGAAGUCCCACAAUAGGACGAAACGGCCGUCCAGUGU